UGCGUAGGCGGCUUUUUAAGUCGGAUGUGAAAUCCCUGAGCUUAACUUAGGAAUUGCAUUCGAUACUGGAAGGCUAGAGUAUGGGAGAGGAUGGUAGAAUUCCAGGUGUAGCGGUGAAAUGCGUAGAGAUCUGGAGGAAUACCGAUGGCGAAGGCAGCCAUCUGGCCUAAUACUGACGCUGAGGUACGAAAGCGAUGGGGAGGACAAACA
Molecule: ribosomal RNA, 210 nt
Filed under: uncultured bacterium
Lineage: Bacteria
Description: partial 16S ribosomal RNA
Rfam family: Bacterial small subunit ribosomal RNA
Source: RNAcentral